Molecule: ribosomal RNA, 460 nt
Filed under: uncultured bacterium
Lineage: Bacteria
Description: partial 16S ribosomal RNA
Rfam family: Bacterial small subunit ribosomal RNA
Source: RNAcentral
CCUACGGGUGGCAGCAGUGAGGAAUAUUGGUCAAUGGACGAGAGCCUGAACCAGCCAAGUAGCGUGAAGGAUGACUGCCCUAUGGGUUGUAAACUUCUUUUAUAUGGGAAUAAAAUGUUCCACGUGUGGGAUUUUGUAUGUACCAUAUGAAUAAGGAUCGGCUAAUUCCGUGCCAGCAGCCGCGGUAAUACGGAGGAUCCGAGCGUUAUCCGGAUUUAUUGGGUUUAAAGGGAGCGUAGGUGGGUUGUUAAGUCAGUUGUGAAAGUUUGCGGCUCAACCGUAAAAUUGCAGUUGAAACUGGCAGUCUUGAGUACAGUAGCGGUAGGCGGAAUUCGUGGUGUAGCGGUGAAAUGCUUAGAUAUCACGAAGAACUCCGAUUGCGAAGGCAGCUCACUGGACUGCAACUGACACUGAGGCUCGAAAGUGUGGGUAUCAAACAGGAUUAGAUACCCGGGUAGUC